RNAcentral lists this ribosomal RNA (639 nucleotides) under uncultured bacterium. RNAcentral describes it as "bacterial SSU rRNA". It matches the Rfam family "Bacterial small subunit ribosomal RNA", at positions 9 to 640 of the family's 1533-position model. The record is from RNAcentral.
GAGUUUGAUCCUGGCUCAGGAUGAACGCUAGCGGCAGGCUUAACACAUGCAAGUCGAGGGGCAGCAUGGGAGUAGCAAUACUUCUGAUGGCGACCGGCGCACGGGUGCGUAACGCGUAUGCAACCUACCUGUAACAGGGGGAUAACACUGAGAAAUCGGUACUAAUACCGCAUAACACUAUGAGAGGCAUCUCUUGUGGUUGAAAGUUUCGGCGGUUACAGAUGGGCAUGCGUUGUAUUAGCUGGUUGGUAAGGUAACGGCUUACCAAGGCGACGAUACAUAGGGGGACUGAGAGGUUAACCCCCCACAUUGGUACUGAGACACGGACCAAACUCCUACGGGAGGCAGCAGUGAGGAAUAUUGGUCAAUGGACGAAAGUCUGAACCAGCCAUGCCGCGUGCAGGAAGACGGCUCUAUGAGUUGUAAACUGCUUUUGUACAAGGGUAAACCUGAAUACGUGUAUUCAGCUGAAAGUACUGUACGAAUAAGGAUCGGCUAACUCCGUGCCAGCAGCCGCGGUAAUACGGAGGAUCCAAGCGUUAUCCGGAUUUAUUGGGUUUAAAGGGUGCGUAGGCGGAUUGAUAAGUUAGAGGUGAAAUGUCCGAGCUUAACUCGGGAACUGCCACUAAUACUGUUGAU